RNAcentral lists this ribosomal RNA (37 nucleotides) under Bacillus sp. BK450. Its description in RNAcentral is "partial 16S ribosomal RNA". Lineage: Bacteria; Bacillati; Bacillota; Bacilli; Caryophanales; Bacillaceae. The record is from RNAcentral.
AUACCUCGGAGAGUUUGAUCCUGGCUCAGGACGAACG